GGUGGGGCACUUAUUUUCAGCUGUUGAGCUUAAAGCUGGCUUAGAAAACUAAGAUCAUGGCAUCCGGUCUCAUCAUUGCAUAGCAAAUAGAUGUGGAAACAAUGGAAACAGUGACAGAUUUUAUUAUCUUAGGCUCUAAAAUCACUGAAGAUAGUGACUGCAGCCAUGAAAUUAAAAGACACUUGCUACUUGGAGGAAAAGCUAUGACCAACCCAGACAGCAUAUUAAAAAACAGAGAGAUUACGUUGCCGACAAAGGUCCGUCUAGUCAAAGCUAUGCUUUUUCCAGUAGUCAUCUAUGGAUGAGAGAGUUGGACCAUAAAGAAGACUGAGCACUGAAGAAUUGAUGCUUUUCAACUGUGGUGUUGGAGAAGACUCUUGAGAGUUCCUUGGACUUCAAGGAGAUCCAACCAAUCAACCUAAAGGAAAUCAGUCCUGAAUAUUCAUUGGCAAGACUGAUGCUGAAGCUGAAGCUCCAAUACUUUGGCCACCUGAUAAGAAGAGGUGACUCACUGGAAAAAAACCUUGAAGCUGGGAAAGAUUGAAGUCAGGAGGAAAAUGGGAUGACAGAGGAUGAGAUGGUAGUAUGGCAUCACUGACUCUAUGGACAUAAGUUUGAGCAAGCUCUGGGAAUUGGUGAUGGACAGGGAGGCCUGGUGUGCUGCAGUCCAUGGGUUUGCAAAGAGUCUGACAUGACUGACUGAACUGAACUGAACUUCUAACUUUAUGGGGGAGAGGAGAAUAUUUCCUGAAUAUUUAAAAAUAUCUAAAUAUAUGAAACUGUUGGUUUAUGUCACAAACUGAAUACAAGAUCUGCAUUUUCACACUGAUUUUCAUCUUUUUAUUGAAUUCUGCAGGUAAUGAGAUUGGAAGUUUUCUCUUUGAACAUGAUGGUAGUGAUCAGACUAUCUGCAAUCUUGUACUCACCUAAGUUUACAGAGCAUUUUCUCAUGCAAGUCUUGACCCAAUGCCUAUUACUCGGAUGUGAUGCUCCUCAUUUCACAAGUGAGAAAGCGAAGCCCAGAAAGAGGGGUCCGGACUCACCUGGAGGACUGGGCCACCUGGAGGAGGGAGAAUGA
RNAcentral lists this long non-coding RNA (1078 nucleotides) under Bos grunniens (domestic yak). RNAcentral's name for it is "lncRNA (ENSBGRG00000009200.1)". The record is from RNAcentral. Lineage: Eukaryota; Metazoa; Chordata; Mammalia; Artiodactyla; Bovidae.